AAUUGAAGAGUUUGAUCAUGGCUCAGAUUGAACGCUGGCGGCAGGCCUAACACAUGCAAGUCGAACGGUAACAGGAAGAAGCUUGCUUCUUUGCUGACGAGUGGCGGACGGGUGAGUAAUGUCUGGGAAACUGCCUGAUGGAGGGGGAUAACUACUGGAAACGGUAGCUAAUACCGCAUAACGUCGCAAGACCAAAGAGGGGGACCUUCGGGCCUCUUGCCAUCGGAUGUGCCCAGAUGGGAUUAGCUAGUAGGUGGGGUAACGGCUCACCUAGGCGACGAUCCCUAGCUGGUCUGAGAGGAUGACCAGCCACACUGGAACUGAGACACGGUCCAGACUCCUACGGGAGGCAGCAGUGGGGAAUAUUGCACAAUGGGCGCAAGCCUGAUGCAGCCAUGCCGCGUGUAUGAAGAAGGCCUUCGGGUUGUAAAGUACUUUCAGCGGGGAGGAAGGGAGUAAAGUUAAUACCUUUGCUCAUUGACGUUACCCGCAGAAGAAGCACCGGCUAACUCCGUGCCAGCAGCCGCGGUAAUACGGAGGGUGCAAGCGUUAAUCGGAAUUACUGGGCGUAAAGCGCACGCAGGCGGUUUGUUAAGUCAGAUGUGAAAUCCCCGGGCUCAACCUGGGAACUGCAUCUGAUACU
This 643-nucleotide ribosomal RNA is filed under the name Escherichia coli. Its description in RNAcentral is "bacterial SSU rRNA". It matches the Rfam family "Bacterial small subunit ribosomal RNA", at positions 1 to 634 of the family's 1533-position model. Lineage: Bacteria; Pseudomonadati; Pseudomonadota; Gammaproteobacteria; Enterobacterales; Enterobacteriaceae. The record is from RNAcentral.